UCUGGGAAGGGAAGGGAAGUCCCCAGGACAGCUGGGGCAGGGCUGGAGCUGUGUGUUGGUUGCUAGGAGCUGCUGGCGUGUUUACCCUGGCUCUGCCUGCGCCUGCUGUGAAGGCAGCUCACCUGCAGAGAGGUGGACGGAGCCCUCCCCAGGCACGCUUGCUUUUGGGGAGUGGAGGUGCUGGAGAGGAGACCAGAAGAGCCAAGAGCCUUAGUCAGUGUGCAAAGGGGGCGCCUGAGGUCUCAAACCAUCCCCUUGCUGCUGCACUUCUCCAAGCUUUUCAUCACAGCCCGCUCAACCCACGUUGCUUGGGGAAUGUGGGUGAACGCUGCGGGAGGGGUGGAGCAGGCCGGCGUCAUGGGGGUUUUGGCACGCAAGGAUUUGAUUUGAACUGGAGAGCGUGCGAGCCAGGUCCCUGUGUUGGAGCAUCCCUAGACCGCGGGAGAGGCUCACGCUGGAUCUGCAGCCAGACUUCUCUGCCUGGGCCCAGCUCUCUCAUGCCGUGACCAUCCCAUCCGUUCUGCCUCUCACCCCACCCGGGGCAUAAGGCAGAGGUCGGUUGUCACCAUCCAAGCCUGUCUCUUUAAUGCACUGGAGUUUGUGUCAUUUGCUGCCUGUGUUGCUGUGAAGGGCCUGUCUUCCUUCAGCCUCGAGGCUGUUGGGAAGGCUGUUGCCUAGCACGCUCACAGCCUGGCCCAGGUGAGUCCCCCUUCCCUCCCCCCAGCGCUGUUUGCACAGGUGAGGGAGCUCCAGGAUCUCACCAGGAUCUCUGUUCUGUCUGACUGCUCCGCUCUGGACGUCCAGCACCAGUCUCAAAUGUUGGCAUCAAGGUUGCAUUGGCUCGCACACUAAUGGUGUCUGAGAGCGCUGUUCUUGGUUCCAGAUGCACCCUUCGAGCAGGCCUGGAGAAUCUCUGUUAACUUGGCAGAUGUUCUCUAAAGCAAGGCAGUCCCAGACACUGGUGCUGCCCGUGUGCUAGCGGCACAGAGGUGUGGCAAAGGAGACGUGCUGCUAGCUCGCCAGGCGGCGUGGCCCUGGGCUACUGGGUGAGUCCCACGCGGUUCAGCAGUAACGAUGGGACAGUGCAUCUGUCCCAUUUCCCGCGACAAGCACUGCAGCGUCAGGCAUUCCCUUUCCCCAGCACCUCACCCUGCUUGCUCUCACAAAGCCUUGCUAAAGGUUACUUUGGAGGGGAAUAAAAAAGUAGAUUUAAUUCUUUUGUUGGAGGCGUCGCUCUAGCACAACCACUAAGAUGGGAGCAGCAGGUUGUAGCGGGGGCCACCCACCUAGGCAUGAUCAGAGCCCCGGGGGAAAUCACUUAGACACACAAAGGUGCUCUGAAAACAGUCGCUGGACACAGGUUACCUGGUGUGCAUGCAGCAAAACUCUCGUGAAACGCCCUCAGCUUGGAAGGCCCUUGCUGUAGGAAGGCCAUAACGCGAAAAAUCAGCCGCCGUUCAGAACUGCUGAGUAACCGACGCCCUGGAAACCACAGCCUGCAAUGGAGACGACAGCGUAAAAUAUCGAGGUGCUGUCAGGCCAUUAAUCUCCCGUCCUCUGCGCAUCCCCUGCAUGAGGAAGAGACUGAAAUAAAAUGCUAGUCUGAGCAUG
Alligator mississippiensis (American alligator) is the source of this 1611-nucleotide long non-coding RNA. RefSeq lists it as uncharacterized. Lineage: Eukaryota; Metazoa; Chordata; Crocodylia; Alligatoridae. The transcript has 2 exons. The record is from RefSeq and is a predicted model, not a curated record.